AACGAACGCUGGCGGCAUGCCUAACACAUGCAAGUCGAACGAGACCUCCGGGUCUAGUGGCGCACGGGUGCGUAACGCGUGGGAACCUGCACUUAGGUUCGGAAUAAUUCCCCGAAAGGGGUGCUAAUACCGGAUAAUGUACUCGGACCACAGAUGUAUCGCCCUUGGAUGGGCCCGCGUUGCAUUAGCUAUUUGGUAGGGUAAAAGCCUAUCACGGCGAGGAUCGAUAGCUGGUCUGAGAGGAAGGGCAGCGACUCUGGGACUGGGACACAGCCCAGACUCCUGCGGAAUGGGGCAGAGGGUGAUAUAGGACUAUGGGCGAAGGCCUGAACCCGCAAGGCCGGGUAAGUGAUGAAGGCCGUAGAGAUAUAAAGCAGUUUUACCCGGGGUGAUAAUGACGGUACCGGAAGAAUAAGCACCGGCUAACUCCGUG
Molecule: ribosomal RNA, 433 nt
Filed under: uncultured bacterium
Lineage: Bacteria
Description: partial 16S ribosomal RNA
Rfam family: Bacterial small subunit ribosomal RNA
Source: RNAcentral